Molecule: ribosomal RNA, 462 nt
Filed under: uncultured bacterium
Lineage: Bacteria
Description: partial 16S ribosomal RNA
Rfam family: Bacterial small subunit ribosomal RNA
Source: RNAcentral
GAUCAACGCUGGCGGCGUGCUUAACACAUGCAAGUCGAACGAAGUUUUUCCUUCGGGAGAAACUUAGUGGCGGACGGGUGAGUAACGCGUGGGUAACCUGCCCUGUACAGGGGGACAACAGCUGGAAACGGCUGCUAAUACCGCAUAAGCCCUUAGCACUGCAUGGUGCAUAGGGAAAAGGAGCAAUCCGGUACAGGAUGGACCCGCGUCUGAUUAGCCAGUUGGCAGGGUAACGGCCUACCAAAGCGACGAUCAGUAGCCGAUCUGAGAGGAUGUACGGCCACAUUGGGACUGAGACACGGCCCAGACUCCUACGGGAGGCAGCAGUGGGGAAUAUUGCACAAUGGAGGAAACUCUGAUGCAGCGACGCCGCGUGAGUGAAGAAGUAUUUCGGGAUGUAAAGCUCUAUCAGCAGGGAAGAAAAUGACGGUACCUGACUAAGAAGCACCGGCUAAAUACGUG